UACGUAGGGGGCAAGCGUUGUCCGGAUUUAUUGGGCGUAAAGAGCUCGUAGGCGGUUUGGUAAGUCUGGUGUGAAAUCUCCACGCUCAACGUGGAGGGGCCACCCGAUACUGCCAUGUCUGGAGUCCGGUAGAGGAGUGUGGAAUUCCCGGUGUAGCGGUGAAAUGCGCAGAUAUCGGGAGGAACACCCGUAGCGAAGGCGGCACUCUGGGCCGGUACUGACGCUGAGGUGCGAAAGCGUGGGGAGCAAACAGG
RNAcentral lists this ribosomal RNA (254 nucleotides) under uncultured bacterium. RNAcentral's name for it is "partial 16S ribosomal RNA". It matches the Rfam family "Bacterial small subunit ribosomal RNA", at positions 524 to 776 of the family's 1533-position model. The record is from RNAcentral.